RNAcentral lists this ribosomal RNA (254 nucleotides) under uncultured bacterium. Its description in RNAcentral is "partial 16S ribosomal RNA". It matches the Rfam family "Bacterial small subunit ribosomal RNA", at positions 524 to 776 of the family's 1533-position model. The record is from RNAcentral.
CACGUAGGGUGCGAGCGUUGUCCGGAAUUAUUGGGCGUAAAGAGCUCGUAGGCGGUUUGUCGCGUCUGCCGUGAAAGUCCGGGGCUCAACUCCGGAUCUGCGGUGGGUACGGGCAGACUAGAGUGCAGUAGGGGAGACUGGAAUUCCUGGUGUAGCGGUGAAAUGCGCAGAUAUCAGGAGGAACACCGAUGGCGAAGGCAGGUCUCUGGGCUGUAACUGACGCUGGAGGAGCGAAAGCAUGGGGAGCGAACAGG